RNAcentral lists this microRNA precursor (159 nucleotides) under Pelobates cultripes (western spadefoot toad). The record is from RNAcentral. Lineage: Eukaryota; Metazoa; Chordata; Amphibia; Anura; Pelobatidae.
GCUCACACAUCCCUGCCAAUCUCCGGCAGACCCUCCCUCCCAGACCCUCCUACUUCCUGGACAGCAUCCAUGUUGAAGGCAGCUUCAACAUGGAUGCUGUCCAGGAGGUGGGAGGGUCUGGGAGGGAGGGUCUGCCGGAGAUUGACAGGGAUGUGUCAG